GUCCCUUCGGGGACCUCCGAUAAAAUUGAAACGAUAUAGAGAAGAUUAGCAUGAUCCCUGCGCAAAUUAAGACACGCACAAAUCGAGAAAUAAUCUAAAUUUUU
This is a small nuclear RNA of Solanum pennellii, 104 nucleotides long. Lineage: Eukaryota; Viridiplantae; Streptophyta; Magnoliopsida; Solanales; Solanaceae. The record is from RefSeq and is a predicted model, not a curated record.